RNAcentral lists this ribosomal RNA (840 nucleotides) under uncultured organism. RNAcentral describes it as "bacterial SSU rRNA". It matches the Rfam family "Bacterial small subunit ribosomal RNA", at positions 1 to 891 of the family's 1533-position model. The record is from RNAcentral.
UAGAGUUUGAUCCUGGCUCAGGAUGAACGCUGGCGGUCUGCUUAACACAUGCAAGUCGAACGCAACCUUCGGGUUGAGUGGCGGACGGGUGAGUAACGCGUGAGAAUCUGCCUUGGGGUCGGGGACAACCACUGGAAACGGUGGCUAAUACCGGAUAAGCCUUUGGGUAAAAGAUUUAUUGCCCCAAGAGGAGCUCGCGUCUGACUAGCUAGUUGGUGAGGUAAAAGCUCACCAAGGCAGCGAUCAGUAGCUGGUCUGAGAGGACGAUCAGCCACACUGGGACUGAGACACGGCCCAGACUCCUACGGGAGGCAGCAGUGGGGAAUUUUCCGCAAUGGGCGAAAGCCUGACGGAGCAAGACCGCGUGAGGGAGGAAGGCUCUUGGGUUGUAAACCUCUUUUCUCAGGGAAGAAGCUCUGACGGUACCUGAGGAAUCAGCCUCGGCUAACUCCGUGCCAGCAGCCGCGGUAAUACGGAGGAGGCAAGCGUUAUCCGGAAUUAUUGGGCGUAAAGCGUCCGCAGGUGGCGAUUCAAGUCUGCUGUCAAAGCACGGGGCUUAACUCCGUUAAGGCAGUGGAAACUGAAUAGCUAGAGUGCCGUAGGGGUAGAGGGAAUUCCCGGUGUAGCGGUGAAAUGCGUAGAGAUCGGGAAGAACAUCGGUGGCGAAAGCGCUCUACUGGACGGCAACUGACACUCAGGGACGAAAGCUAGGGGAGCGAAUGGGAUUAGAUACCCCAGUAGUCCUAGCUGUAAACGAUGGAUACUAGGUGUAGCUUGUAUCGACCCGAGCUGUGCCGAAGCUAACGCGUUAAGUAUCCCGCCUGGGGAGUACGCACGCAA